AACACUCUUAUUAUUCUUCUUAUCCAUUCUCUACUUUCUUCAUCCUCUCCUAAGUGAAAUUCUAAGGAUUUAAGUCUAGUUUCUUUUCCAAGUUGGAGAAUGAUCCAAGGCAAGAAAAAAGAGAAGCUGCCCUUGGGUGAUUUUAGGGAGUUUUCUUCAACCAAGCAUUCAAGGUUAGGAGCAAGAGUCUUUGGCGGAGCCUAUACUUAAAUCGACUAGCACCAGCCGCUAACUUUUGAGUAUAUCUCAUAUUUUGUACUAGUGACAUGUAAUGUAAAUGAAAUUGUGUAUGUCAGGUCAAAAUCUAAAUUUGAAUAUUUUAUAAAUCUUAAUUUCAAAUAUUUU
Hibiscus syriacus is the source of this 345-nucleotide long non-coding RNA. RefSeq lists it as uncharacterized. Lineage: Eukaryota; Viridiplantae; Streptophyta; Magnoliopsida; Malvales; Malvaceae. The record is from RefSeq and is a predicted model, not a curated record. The transcript has 3 exons.